This 21-nucleotide non-coding RNA is filed under the name Caenorhabditis elegans. The record is from RNAcentral. Lineage: Eukaryota; Metazoa; Nematoda; Chromadorea; Rhabditida; Rhabditidae.
UUGAUUACUUUGAAAAUUUGA